Mauremys reevesii (Reeves's turtle) is the source of this 1038-nucleotide long non-coding RNA. RefSeq lists it as uncharacterized. NCBI's taxonomy places the organism in Eukaryota, Metazoa, Chordata, Testudines, Geoemydidae. The transcript is spliced from 3 exons. The record is from RefSeq and is a predicted model, not a curated record.
GAAUCAACGCCUGACUGACCCUGCCUGAUUGGUUUUUCAGAGAGAUCAGAGGAAAACUCCCAUUCUCUAUUUAAUUCUACCUCCAGGAAGUGCCUUUACCUGCCUGCUUUCAGUUUUACAGGAUUCCUUUAUCAGCAGCCAGUGAGUGGAAUGCAACAUACAGCUGAAUGUUAAAGAGACAUGAGGCCUCUCUGGUUUGUUCACUCAGUUCUAAAGCAAAACCAACUCCAGAAAAGGAGUGAGCCUGGAGUCUAGGCUGUGGGCCGCAUUUGAAACCAGAUUGGGGAAGGCAACAACUCACACAACACUUCAGCAAAACCUCUUGUACAAAAUUCCUCUUCAGCAUCUGUCUGAUGUUUCUACUCUGUGAGCUGCUACAGUGUUAGCUCAGUUGUCUUCCAGCCUUCAUCUACAAACUUGUGGGACCUAGAUGGCAAAGGAAAAUGAAAACCAGAAAUUGAGCCUUUCAUCUCUAAGUCACAGGUUCAAAUGCGGCCUAGGCUGGCCAUAGUCCUACUCAGUGACCCAUGUGAACAAGUGAUGGUGUGUAGUCCCAUUCUUAGCGGCUGGGCCUUAAAGAGAUUACAACUUGUGAUGAUAGUUUUGUGAGAUCCCUCAUUUGGUAACCUCUUUGAUGGUCUCAGGUGAGACAUGGAAAAUUGAAAUCAUUUGAAGAUGUUAAUUCCAUAACAGGGUUGAAGCUCAUUAGUGGGGAAUUGUUGGAGAAAGCUCUUUCUUUCCCUGGAUAAAUGGAGGACAUCAGCCUCUAGGGUUGUGAAUCUGACACCAGAUUCACCAGAAACAAAUUUUGCUUUGCUUCUUUGUAAACUAGACUUAACGUCAGUUCCCCACAUCUGCCCCCCACCCCACCCCACAUGCUUCCACCCGAACCCCGAACUAUUACACUUUAAUGAAAAAAUCAAGUACAAACUUGGACAGUGCAUUUCUGACUUCUUAAACUGUUUGAAGAAGAGUACAUUUUCUGCAAAAGACAGAAUGUUCACUUUCAUUCGCUAACAUAAUGUGCAUCAGCCCAUU